RNAcentral lists this ribosomal RNA (538 nucleotides) under Pseudarthrobacter phenanthrenivorans Sphe3. RNAcentral describes it as "bacterial SSU rRNA". It matches the Rfam family "Bacterial small subunit ribosomal RNA", at positions 328 to 878 of the family's 1533-position model. Lineage: Bacteria; Bacillati; Actinomycetota; Actinomycetes; Micrococcales; Micrococcaceae. The record is from RNAcentral.
UGGGGGGCCUUUCGGGAGGCAGCAGUGGGGAAUAUUGCACAAUGGGCGCAAGCCUGAUGCAGCGACGCCGCGUGAGGGAUGACGGCCUUCGGGUUGUAAACCUCUUUCAGUAGGGAAGAAGCGAAAGUGACGGUACCUGCAGAAGAAGCGCCGGCUAACUACGUGCCAGCAGCCGCGGUAAUACGUAGGGCGCAAGCGUUAUCCGGAAUUAUUGGGCGUAAAGAGCUCGUAGGCGGUUUGUCGCGUCUGCCGUGAAAGUCCGGGGCUCAACUCCGGAUCUGCGGUGGGUACGGGCAGACUAGAGUGAUGUAGGGGAGACUGGAAUUCCUGGUGUAGCGGUGAAAUGCGCAGAUAUCAGGAGGAACACCGAUGGCGAAGGCAGGUCUCUGGGCAUUAACUGACGCUGAGGAGCGAAAGCAUGGGGAGCGAACAGGAUUAGAUACCCUGGUAGUCCAUGCCGUAAACGUUGGGCACUAGGUGUGGGGGACAUUCCACGUUUUCCGCGCCGUAGCUAACGCAUUAAGUGCCCCGCCUGGAG